RNAcentral lists this ribosomal RNA (468 nucleotides) under uncultured bacterium. RNAcentral's name for it is "bacterial SSU rRNA". It matches the Rfam family "Bacterial small subunit ribosomal RNA", at positions 28 to 507 of the family's 1533-position model. The record is from RNAcentral.
GAUGAACGCUGGCGGCGUGCUUAACACAUGCAAGUCGAACGAAGAUGCCGGAGUGCUUGCACUUUGGCAGACUGAGUGGCGACGGGUGAGUAACGCGUGGGUAACCUGCCUUAUACAGGGGGAUAACAGUUGGAAACGACUGCUAAUACCGCAUAAGCGCACAGUACCGCAUGGUACAGUGUGAAAAACUCCGGUGGUGUGAGAUGGACCCGCGUCUGAUUAGCUAGUUGGCAGGGCAACGGCCUACCAAGGCGACGAUCGGUAGCCGGACUGAGAGGUUGAACGGCCACAUUGGGACUGAGACACGGCCCAGACUCCUACGGGAGGCAGCAGUGGGGAAUAUUGCACAAUGGGGGAAACCCUGAUGCAGCGACGCCGCGUGGAGGAAGAAGGUCUUCGGAUUGUAAACUCCUGUUGUUGAGGAAGAUAAUGACGGUACUCAACAAGGAAGUGACGGCUAACUACGUG